UACGGAGGGUGCAAGCGUUAUCCGGAAUCACUGGGUUUAAAGGGUGCGUAGGCGGCUUAAUAAGUCAGUGGUGAAAGGCUGUGGCUUAACCAUGGAAUUGCCAUUGAUACUGUUGAGCUUGAAUCAGGUUGAGGUUGGCGGAAUGUGACAUGUAGCGGUGAAAUGCUUAGAUAUGUCAUGGAACACCGAUUGCGAAGGCAGCUGACUGGACCUGUAUUGACGCUGAGGCACGAAAGCGUGGGGAGCGAACAGG
Molecule: ribosomal RNA, 253 nt
Filed under: uncultured bacterium
Lineage: Bacteria
Description: partial 16S ribosomal RNA
Rfam family: Bacterial small subunit ribosomal RNA
Source: RNAcentral